CACCUGAUGACUUUUACUAACUUGGCUCUCUUCUUCUAUCCCAAUAUGUAAUUCAAGCUGACCAAUCAAAGUACCUCAUCAGUUGGAUACAGUGAUUGGUGUAGGAUUGAGCAUGUUAUCUAAGCAGAACCAAUCAGAGUCAUUUUUUACUCUGUAAUUGCUAUAGUCUCCUUUAAUCUUGAAGACCGAAACCUAUCUCCAGAUGGAAAACUCUAAGAAGUCAACACAGAGAAAAGCAAAACUGAAAGAUGGAGAGAACAAAAGGAAUCCUGAUGAUGGUGUUUCAAUCCCUGAACUCUAGCCUUUUCUGAAGCCUUUCCUGCUACUUGAGCCAAGUGAUGCCCAAGUUAGAGUUGGGUUUCUAUUACUUCAUUGUCCUUCAUCCACCUUUCUCUCCAAGGAUAACUGGAUUCCGAAAAGCCUUUACAGAUCUUCCUGUGUGGGUCAACUCUUUCUUCUUAAGCAAUCAGGGUGCCAUGCACUCUCCAGUGUUACAUUCACAAGUUAUCAUUUUAUAUUUAUUCAUGCAAUUGUUUCAAUGUAUCCUCCACAUGACUUCAAGUUCCCAGAGAAUGCCUUGGGUUUUGCUCAACAUUCAUUGUAACACCAGUGCCUGGCACAGAGCCAGCACUCCAUACAUAUUUGUAGACUGAAUAAAUUACGUAAUGGCGUCCUGGCAGAGUCUGCGCAGAGGAGACAACUGAGCCGGUGGGAGGCGGCCAGGGGAGCUCGCGCGGAUUGGCUGGAGGAGCGAGGGGAUCGGCUGCGCAGGGCACGGGCGAGUAGACUCCAGUCUCCAGGAGCUGCGCGCUGAGAGUGCUCGCGAGGCCCCGGCGCGGUGUCUAAGAUGGUGGCGCUAGGACCCGGAACCACGUGAUAGACUCCGGGGCCCCUGACCCAGCAGGAGGCUGGGGGUGGCGUGGAGUUCCCUCCUGUGGGUACCGCAAACGGAAUUUCCCCCACGCCCAGAAUUCACCGUCAGACAUAAAUUGAUCCUAUUCCUCGCCCAACGCUGUGCCAGAAAUUCAAGAUACUGCAAGAUGUGGCUGUGAAUUAAUCACAAAAGGAUGCUGGGCUCCAGGCCUGUACUCAGUGGGAUCUCUACAAAGAAGAGACACUAGAUAAGGAGGCAGAGCUGGCCUCACUGGGUAAGGGCACUGAACUCUAACUUACAAUCCAUAUACUCUGAGUUCUGUGAGUUUUGGUUGAAAAAACAAAAAACUAUUUCUUCUAUACCUCAAAGAUGUCUGAACAUUAAAAAAAAAAAAAAAAGAGAGAGAGAGAGAAGUUUUUCAAGAACUCAGUUGACUUAGAGAUUCCCAGUUGCUUUGACUAUUGGAGACAAGAUGUUUUUGCUCUUUGUUGAAAGAUAUUUAGCCCCAUCUGUGUGACAUGGUAAAAGCCCCAUAAAACUGCACACCUCAACCAU
This is a non-coding RNA of Saimiri boliviensis boliviensis (Bolivian squirrel monkey), 1429 nucleotides long. NCBI's taxonomy places the organism in Eukaryota, Metazoa, Chordata, Mammalia, Primates, Cebidae. The record is from RefSeq and is a predicted model, not a curated record.